CCUACGGGAUGCAGCAGUGGGGAAUAUUGCACAAUGGGCGAAAGCCUGAUGCAGCGACGCCGCGUGAGGGAUGACGGCCCUCGGGUUGUAAACCUCUUUCAGCAGGGAAGAAGCCACAAGUGACGGUACCUGCAGAAGAAGCGCCGGCUAACUACGUGCCAGCAGCCGCGGUAAUACGUAGGGCGCAAGCGUUGUCCGGAAUUAUUGGGCGUAAAGAGCUCGUAGGCGGUUUGUCGCGUCUGCUGUGAAAGCCCGGGGCUUAACCCCGGGUGUGCAGUGGGUACGGGCAGACUAGAGUGCAGUAGGGGAGACUGGAAUUCCUGGUGUAGCGGUGGAAUGCGCAGAUAUCAGGAGGAACACCGAUGGCGAAGGCAGGUCUCUGGGCUGUUACUGACGCUGAGGAGCGAAAGCAUGGGGAGCGAACAGGAUUAGAUACCCGCGUAGUC
Molecule: ribosomal RNA, 446 nt
Filed under: uncultured bacterium
Lineage: Bacteria
Description: bacterial SSU rRNA
Rfam family: Bacterial small subunit ribosomal RNA
Source: RNAcentral